GACGAACGCUGGCGGCGUGCCUAACACAUGCAAGUCGAACGGGGUACCUUCGGGUACUUAGUGGCGAACGGGUGAGUAACGCGUGAGAAACCUGCCUUUCAGUGGGGGACAACAGUUGGAAACGACUGCUAAUACCGCAUAAUGUUAUUUGAGGGCAUCCUUGAAUAACCAAAGCUUUAUGUGCUGAAAGAUGGUCUCGCGUCUGAUUAGCUAGAUGGCGGGGUAACGGCCCACCAUGGCGACGAUCAGUAGCCGGUCUGAGAGGAUGAACGGCCACAUUGGGACUGAGAUACGGCCCAGACUCCUACGGGAGGCAGCAGUGGGGAAUAUUGGGGCAAUGGGGGAAACCCUGACCCAGCAACGCCGCGUGAAGGAAGAAAGGGCCUUCGGGUUGGUUAAAACGUUACUUUUACCUAGGGACGGAACAAAUAGACGGUACCU
This 441-nucleotide ribosomal RNA is filed under the name uncultured bacterium. RNAcentral describes it as "bacterial SSU rRNA". It matches the Rfam family "Bacterial small subunit ribosomal RNA", at positions 28 to 480 of the family's 1533-position model. The record is from RNAcentral.